RNAcentral lists this long non-coding RNA (414 nucleotides) under Physcomitrium patens. Its description in RNAcentral is "long non-coding RNA (PPAT_LNC004462)". The record is from RNAcentral. Lineage: Eukaryota; Viridiplantae; Streptophyta; Bryopsida; Funariales; Funariaceae.
AGGAUUUGAUUUAGGGUUUAGGAUUUGGUUUAGGAUUUGAUUAGGAUUUGAUUUAGGAUUAGGAUUUUAUUAAGAUUUGACUUAGGAUUAGGAUUUGAUUAGGAUUUGAUUUAGGAUUAGGAUUUUAUUAGGAUUUGAUUUAGGAUUAGGAUUUUAUUAGGAUUUGAUUUAGGAUUAGAAUUUUGUUAAGAUUUAGUUUAGGAUUUAGGAUUUGAUUUAGGAUUUAGGGUUUGGUUAGGAUUUGAUUUAGGAUUUAAGAUUUGAUUAGGAUUUAUUUGAGGUUUAAGAUUUAGUUAGUUUUUGGCGUAAAGUUUGAAUGAAGCCCAAUAGGAUUUUAACUAGGAUUAAAUUAAGAUUGAAUUGAGAUAUAUUUGAGAUAUAUUUGUGAUUAUUUUAAUAUUUCUUUAAGAUUUA